RNAcentral lists this long non-coding RNA (431 nucleotides) under Lathyrus oleraceus (garden pea). Its description in RNAcentral is "Pisum sativum (pea) long non-coding RNA (PSAT_LNC026986)". The record is from RNAcentral. Lineage: Eukaryota; Viridiplantae; Streptophyta; Magnoliopsida; Fabales; Fabaceae.
UGAACUCCAUGCCUCUUAUUUUCACCAUAUGUCAUCACUAAACAACUGGAUGAGAAGAUUUAUUUCUAAUAUCCAUAUCCAAUAGGACCUCGUUAUGUAUUCUGAUCAAGACUGGAGCAGGGACUUACCCUUAGUGGCCUGCAGGAAGAAAACCAGAGUAGAGUUGAAACUGCAUAGAAAAGAAGGGUUAGCAGCAGAGAUCAUGAAAAUGGUGCAGAUUAUUUAAGAAGGGAAUUGAACUCUAGUGAAACGAAUGCUGCUUACUAGGAAAGAUAGAAGUAAUGUCAAGGGAUUAUCCUUCUUCCAGGACAGUUACUUUUGAAGGAAACAACCAGGCUCAAGGACAUAAGAUAAGUGUAGGAAGUAACUCAGAUAGAGCAGCUCAAGUAAUAUCCAGGGAGUUGGAUGGCAGAGUAGAAUUGUGGGAGCUU